UUCAUAUUUUUACAGCAUUCUAGCAAAAAUGUCUAGCAGGAUUCUGGCCGAACUGAGCUGGUGUUUUCGAGACUGGGUUAGCACGGACACCCACCAUUUACACACUAGAUAAAAACUAGUAAUUGAAUUAAAUUUUAUUCUUUCGAUCUUACUAUUUUUUAUUUAUUUUUGUGAACGUGUAAGAUAUCCAGAAUUCAGCUCAAUAGUGCUCAUUUUAUUUUAUCGUGCAAUGUUUGUUUCGCUUAGUUGUUUUUUUUCUGCAGUUUUUAAAACCAACUGAUCGCGAGUGUUUGUGGUACAGAUCUCCGUUGUCAUCCGUUGUAGGUGGUCAUCCAACAGCUGAAUUGUGGCUACUUCCAAAACUGCUCAUCACCGGAGGCGCCGAUCCUUGAGUCGCGGCUGUACACCCGGCAGACGGACAGUUCGGUGCAACAUUUUCGGUUAAACGCUUGAGGUUCAAAACCAAGCAGGCAUGCAAGGACGUUCUUUCUCAUCAUCACCAAACAGUUCGUGGAGAACACCAAGGUCGUAGCCGAUGGACCAAUUGCUGCCGACAAGUUUUUUUUAUCGUUAGAACUCGGACAUCCCGUAGUUUUCGGAAAUCCGGCGUCUACGAUGAACAGUUAUUGCAUAAACUACGACCUGCACGAGCCUGACCAGCAGAUACCUCCGGACGUGGCUAUUUUCCUACCGGUUCCCAAGCACUGGACCGUAGCCGGCUUCUAGUUGCAGAUUAUGGUCCAGAGUUGCUUCCUGUGACGCAUUGGCCCAUCUGUUCACGAAUAGUAACGGUGUCAACCUGGACAGCAUAUUUUUUUGGACAUUUUUUUUCGUUGAGACCAUUCAUAAGAACGAUCUCGCAAAGACCCUACAAGGAGGCGUCUAUUUCUAUGAUUUCGUCCAAGCGCCGCAAGCUGAAAGACCUCCGUUUGACGACAUUCCGGCGCUUAUCGACGGCAUGAUCGAUCAUCACGUUAAUGCAGUACAGGUACACUAUGGUCAACCGAUGACGUUUCAAAUGAAACCGUAAGUAGAAGUUUUUAGUAUAUGUUUUCCUAAAUACACUUUGAUUUCAGCAAAGUUGUCGACAACACACUUUUUAUUCCUCUUUCAAACCCCGUUGAAUUUAGAUUUUGAUGUUUUUUCUCAUAAGCUUGAACUUGUAUUGUUCUUCAAAAACCUUUAAAUUGUGCGCUUUUGCUAUGUGUUGAGCUUAAAUUAAUUCAAUACAUAAUCAUAAGCAUGCAUUUUAGAGACUGUUUUGUGCCAAUACAAAACGCAAUGCAUUUGAAAAUUACAUCAGAUUCUGAAUUCAACGGGGUAAAAAAAUUUACAUCUCGGGUAAAUUUACGUUCAUUUCAUCGGAAAUUUACAUGUUUUCAAGUCCCUUUUAGCCUGGCUCGUUUACGUUGGAUGGCAUGUAAAUUUCAAAUGAAACUAAUUUAAAUUUACAUCAU
Molecule: long non-coding RNA, 1457 nt
Organism: Culex pipiens pallens (northern house mosquito)
Lineage: Eukaryota; Metazoa; Arthropoda; Insecta; Diptera; Culicidae
Exons: 3
Source: RefSeq, a predicted model, not a curated record